Molecule: long non-coding RNA, 283 nt
Filed under: Cucumis sativus (cucumber)
Lineage: Eukaryota; Viridiplantae; Streptophyta; Magnoliopsida; Cucurbitales; Cucurbitaceae
Description: long non-coding RNA (CSAT_LNC001466)
Source: RNAcentral
UAUGGUGCAUCUUUCUUUUUUGUGGCUCAAUCAUAGGAACUCCAAAGUUUACGUCGUGUGCGGUCCAGAUCCACGUUGUCGGCCGCCAUACCUGUCUCCGUUCGCGAAGCAAAGCAGCGCGACCCUCUGCCUUCCAGUCGCAGCGCGACCCUCUGCCUUCCAGUCGCCGCGUGACCCUUUGCCUUCCAAUCGUGUGUUCCAAGUCGGCCCAUACUCCAAUCUUCCUUGCAAUCUCUUUUGCUUUAGUUUUGUGCGUCGUUGCCUCUACAUUGUUGUAAGUUUG